Molecule: ribosomal RNA, 407 nt
Filed under: Streptomyces albidoflavus
Lineage: Bacteria; Bacillati; Actinomycetota; Actinomycetes; Kitasatosporales; Streptomycetaceae
Description: partial 16S ribosomal RNA
Source: RNAcentral
GAAGGCCGUCAUCCCUCACGCGGCGUCGCUGCAUCAGGCUUUCGCCCAUUGUGCAAUAUUCCCCACUGCUGCCUCCCGUAGGAGUCUGGGCCGUGUCUCAGUCCCAGUGUGGCCGGUCGCCCUCUCAGGCCGGCUACCCGUCGUCGCCUUGGUGAGCCACUACCUCACCAACAAGCUGAUAGGCCGCGGGCUCAUCCUGCACCGCCGGAGCUUUACACCAUCCACCAUGCGGCAGACGGUCAUAUCCGGUAUUAGACCCCGUUUCCAGGGCUUGUCCCAGAGUGCAGGGCAGAUUGCCCACGUGUUACUCACCCGUUCGCCACUAAUCCCCGCCCGAAAGCGGUUCAUCGUUCGACUUGCAUGUGUUAAGCACGCCGCCAGCGUUCGUCCUGAGCCAGGAUCAAACU